UGGAAAGAGCGAAGACCUCAUUCUCAGGC
RNAcentral lists this non-coding RNA (29 nucleotides) under Mus musculus (house mouse). Lineage: Eukaryota; Metazoa; Chordata; Mammalia; Rodentia; Muridae. The record is from RNAcentral.